This 450-nucleotide ribosomal RNA is filed under the name uncultured bacterium. Its description in RNAcentral is "bacterial SSU rRNA". It matches the Rfam family "Bacterial small subunit ribosomal RNA", at positions 29 to 524 of the family's 1533-position model. The record is from RNAcentral.
AACGAACGCUGGCGGCAUGCCUAACACAUGCAAGUCGAACGAACCCUUCGGGGUUAGUGGCGCACGGGUGCGUAACGCGUGGGAAUCUGCCCAAAGGUUCGGAAUAACUCAGGGAAACUUGAGCUAAUACCGGAUAAUGUCGCAAGACCAAAGAUUUAUUGCCUUUGGAUGAGCCCGCGUAGGAUUAGCUAGUUGGUGGGGUAAAGGCCUACCAAGGCGACGAUCCUUAGCUGGUCUGAGAGGANGAUCAGCCACACUGGGACUGAGACACGGCCCAGACUCCUACGGGAGGCAGCAGUGGGGAAUAUUGGACAAUGGGCGAAAGCCUGAUCCAGCAAUGCCGCGUGAGUGAUGAAGGCCUUAGGGUUGUAAAGCUCUUUUACCCGGGAUGAUAAUGACAGUACCGGGAGAAUAAGCUCCGGCUAACUCCGUGCCAGCAGCCGCAGUAAC